CGGAUUAAUUCGAAGCAACGCGAAGAACCUUACCAGGUCUUGACAUCCCCUGACAACCCGAGAGAUCGGGCGUUCCCCCUUCGGGGGACAGGGUGACAGGUGGUGCAUGGUUGUCGUCAGCUCGUGUCGUGAGAUGUUGGGUUAAGUCCCGCAACGAGCGCAACCCUUCGACCUUAGUUGCCAGCAUUCAGUUGGGCACUCUAAGGUGACUGCCGGCUAAAAGUCGGAGGAAGGUGGGGAUGACGUCAAAUCAUCAUGCCCCUUAUGACCUGGGCUACACACGUGCUACAAUGGGCGGUACAAAGGGUCGCGAACCCGCGAGGGGGAGCCAAUCCCAAAAAGCCGCUCUCAGUUCGGAUUGCAGGCUGCAACUCGCCUGCAUGAAGCCGGAAUCGCUAGUAAUCGCGGAUCAGCAUGCCGCGGUGAAUACGUUCCCGGGCCUU
This 443-nucleotide ribosomal RNA is filed under the name uncultured Anoxybacillus sp. RNAcentral's name for it is "bacterial SSU rRNA". It matches the Rfam family "Bacterial small subunit ribosomal RNA", at positions 942 to 1382 of the family's 1533-position model. Lineage: Bacteria; Bacillati; Bacillota; Bacilli; Caryophanales; Anoxybacillaceae. The record is from RNAcentral.